Molecule: ribosomal RNA, 403 nt
Filed under: uncultured bacterium
Lineage: Bacteria
Description: bacterial SSU rRNA
Rfam family: Bacterial small subunit ribosomal RNA
Source: RNAcentral
GGGAUAUUGCACAAUGGGGGAAACCCUGAUGCAGCGACGCCGCGUGGGCGAAGAAGUAUUUCGGUAUGUAAAGCCCUAACAGCAGGGAAGAAGAAAUUGACAGUACCUCAGGAGGAAGCUCCGGCUAACUAUGUGCCAGCAGCCGCGGUAAUACAUAGGGAGCAAGCGUUAUCCGGAUUUAUUGGGUGUAAAGGGUGCGUAGACGGGAAAUUAAGUUAGUUGUGAAAUCCCUCGGCUUAACUGAGGAACUGCAACUAAAACUGAUUUUCUUGAGUACUGGAGAGGAAAGUGGAAUUCCUAGUGUAGCGGUGAAAUGCGUAGAUAUUAGGAGGAACACCAGUGGCGAAGGCGACUUUCUGGACAGUAACUGACGUUGAGGCACGAAAGUGUGGGGAGCAAACAG